RNAcentral lists this ribosomal RNA (253 nucleotides) under uncultured bacterium. RNAcentral's name for it is "partial 16S ribosomal RNA". It matches the Rfam family "Bacterial small subunit ribosomal RNA", at positions 524 to 776 of the family's 1533-position model. The record is from RNAcentral.
UACGAAGGGGGCUAGCGUUGUUCGGAUUUACUGGGCGUAAAGCGUACGUAGGCGGAUCUUUAAGUCAGAGGUGAAAUCCCAAGGCUCAACCUUGGAACUGCCUUUGAUACUGGGGAUCUCGAGUCCGGGAGAGGUGAGUGGAACUGCGAGUGUAGAGGUGAAAUUCGUAGAUAUUCGCAAGAACACCAGUGGCGAAGGCGGCUCACUGGCCCGGAACUGACGCUGAGGUGCGAAAGCGUGGGGAGCAAACAGG